GUGGGGAAUAUUGGACAAUGGGCGAAAGCCUGAUCCAGCCAUGCCGCGUGUGUGAAGAAGGUCUUCGGAUUGUAAAGCACUUUAAGUUGGGAGGAAGGGCAGUAAGUUAAUACCUUGCUGUUUUGACGUUACCGACAGAAUAAGCACCGGCUAACUUCGUGCCAGCAGCCGCGGUAAUACGAAGGGUGCAAGCGUUAAUCGGAAUUACUGGGCGUAAAGCGCGCGUAGGUGGUUUUGUAAGUUGGAGGUGAAAUCCCCGGGCUCAACCUGGGAACUGACUCCAAAAAUGCAUGACUAGAGUACGGUAGAGGGUAGUGGAAUUUCCUGUGUAGCUGUGAAAUGCGUAGAUAUAGGAAGGAACACCAGUAGCGAAGGCGACUACCUGGACUGAUACUGACACUGAGGUGCGAAAGCGUGGGGAGCAAACAGGAUUAGAAACCCGUGUAGUCC
RNAcentral lists this ribosomal RNA (450 nucleotides) under uncultured bacterium. RNAcentral describes it as "partial 16S ribosomal RNA". It matches the Rfam family "Bacterial small subunit ribosomal RNA", at positions 354 to 796 of the family's 1533-position model. The record is from RNAcentral.